RNAcentral lists this ribosomal RNA (372 nucleotides) under uncultured organism. Its description in RNAcentral is "partial 16S ribosomal RNA". It matches the Rfam family "Bacterial small subunit ribosomal RNA", at positions 527 to 896 of the family's 1533-position model. The record is from RNAcentral.
GUAGGUGGCAAGCGUUGUCCGGAAUUAUUGGGCGUAAAGCGCGCGCAGGCGGUCCUUUAAGUCUGAUGUGAAAGCCCACGGCUCAACCGUGGAGGGUCAUUGGAAACUGGGGGACUUGAGUACAGAAGAGGAAAGCGGAAUUCCAAGUGUGGCGGUGAAAUGCGUAGAGAUUUGGAGGAACACCAGUGGCGAAGGCGGCUUUCUGGUCUGUAACUGACGCUGAGGCGCGAAAGCGUGGGGAGCAAACAGGGAUUAGAUACCCUGGUAGUCCACGCCGUAAACGAUGAGUGCUAAGUGUUAGGGGGUUUCCCGCCCCUUAGUGCUGCAGCUAACGCAUUAAGCACUCCGCCUGGGGAUACGGCCGCAAGGCUG